GUGGGGAUGACGUCAAAUCAGCACGGCCCUUACGUCCGGGGCUACACACGUGUUACAAUGGCAGGUACAGAGAGACGGUCCCUUGCAAAAGGGAUCAAAUCCUUAAAGCCUGUCUCAGUUCGGACUGGGGUCUGCAACCCGACCCCACGAAGCUGGAUUCGCUAGUAAUCGCGCAUCAGCCAUGGCGCGGUGAAUACGUUCCCGGGCCUUGUACACACCGCCCGUCAAGCCAUGAAAGCCGGGGGUGCCUGAAGUCCGUGACCGCAAGGAUCGGCCUAGGGCAAAACUGGUAAUUGGGGCUAAGUCGUAACAAGGUAGCCGUACCGGAAGGUGCGGCUGGAACACCUCCUUU
Molecule: ribosomal RNA, 352 nt
Filed under: Acinetobacter baumannii
Lineage: Bacteria; Pseudomonadati; Pseudomonadota; Gammaproteobacteria; Moraxellales; Moraxellaceae
Description: bacterial SSU rRNA
Rfam family: Bacterial small subunit ribosomal RNA
Source: RNAcentral